This is a long non-coding RNA of Quercus robur (English oak), 375 nucleotides long. RefSeq lists it as uncharacterized. The transcript is spliced from 2 exons. The record is from RefSeq and is a predicted model, not a curated record. NCBI's taxonomy places the organism in Eukaryota, Viridiplantae, Streptophyta, Magnoliopsida, Fagales, Fagaceae.
UGAAGUCAUCCUUCCUGUGCAAAUAGAAAAUCUGAAAGGAAAAAAAAUUUGUUUUCCAAAUACAACUAAAUAACUAUAAUCUCAACUAUGGAUGGGAAUUCUACACUGUCAAGAAACUUUUUGACUCUUUUGAAGAAACUGACAAAGCAAUUCAGCUUGAUAAAAUGACAGAAGUUUACAUCAGUGAUACUUCAAAUGAAUGUAGCAACAACUUAUCAAUUGAAGAAGAUGGUGAUUGUACAAAAUUUCAAAAACUUGAUGUUCAAACCAAUGUGCAACUCACACCAACAUCUGUACUCAAGGAAAACAAAAGGGCAUAUUUAGGGACUACUACAAAGCAACAAAGGAAGAAGAUACAAAAAACACUUUAAAGUU